ACCUGGGUGGCUCAGUUGGUUAAGCAUCUGACUUUGGCUCAGGUCAUGAUCUCACGGUUUGUGGGUUCAAGCCCCUCAUCAGGCU
Molecule: transfer RNA, 85 nt
Filed under: Felis catus (domestic cat)
Lineage: Eukaryota; Metazoa; Chordata; Mammalia; Carnivora; Felidae
Rfam family: tRNA
About the family: Transfer RNA (tRNA) molecules are approximately 80 nucleotides in length. Their secondary structure includes four short double-helical elements and three loops (D, anti-codon, and T loops).
Source: Rfam by way of RNAcentral